CCCCAGCUGACGAGUUACAAAUAGGAUGAAACGCGCGUCCUGGAU
This 45-nucleotide non-coding RNA is filed under the name Schistosoma mansoni. Lineage: Eukaryota; Metazoa; Platyhelminthes; Trematoda; Strigeidida; Schistosomatidae. The record is from RNAcentral.